RNAcentral lists this ribosomal RNA (1381 nucleotides) under Drosophila miranda. RNAcentral describes it as "16S ribosomal RNA". Lineage: Eukaryota; Metazoa; Arthropoda; Insecta; Diptera; Drosophilidae. The record is from RNAcentral.
UCAAUAUAGAUUGAUUAGUUUUUAUUUAUUAAUUUUUUUUUGUUUAAAAUUUAAAUAUUAGAAAUAACUGUAAAAUUUAAAGUUUUAGUAUUGUUUAAAGAAAAAAUAAUUUUAAUAAUAGUUUAAUAGUAUUGUAAAAGAAAAUUGAAAUAAUUUGAAAAAUUUUUAUUUUAAAAGAAAAUUUAAUUUAUUGUACCUUGUGUAUCAGUGUUUAUUAAAUAAAAAGUAUAAAUAUAUUUUUCUCGAUUUUAAAAGAGUUAAUAUAAUAUAUAAGUUAAUGUAAUAAAAUUAUUUAUAAUAUUAUAUUAGAAAUGAAAUGUUAUUCGUUUUUAAAGGUAUCUAGUUUUCUAAGAAAUGAAUUUAAUUCAGAAAUUAUAAAUUUAUUAAUUUUUUUAUUUAAAUUAAUAAUUUAUAAUUUUAAUAUUUUAUGGGAUAAGCUAUAAAAUAAAUUUUUAAAAAUAAUAAAUAAAUUUAAUAAAUAUAUGCUUAGAAUUAGCAAUUAUUAAAAAAUGUGUUAUAAUUUAUUUUAUAAAUUAAAUUAUUUAUUAUAUUUUAAUUAUUUAUUAGAAUAUUAAUUUUAAUUUUUAAAGUUAAGAAAUAAUGAUAGAAUUAGUAUAUUUUUAUGUUUAGAUAAAUUUUAAUGAAAAGUUUAAAUAAAGAAUUCGGCAAAAAUAAUGUUCGCCUGUUUAACAAAAACAUGUCUUUUUGAAUUAAAUUUAAAGUCUAACCUGCCCACUGAAAUUUUAAAUGGCCGCAGUAUUCUGACUGUGCAAAGGUAGCAUAAUCAUUAGUCUUUUAAUUGAAGGCUGGAAUGAAUGGUUGGACGAAAUAUUAACUGUUUCAUUUAAAUUUUUUAUAGAAUUUUAUUUUUUAGUCAAAAAGCUAAAAUAAAUUUAAAAGACGAGAAGACCCUAUAAAUCUUUAUAUUUUUUUUAUUUUAAUUGUAAAGAUUUAUUUUAUUUUAAUAAAUAAAAAUAUUUUAUUGGGGUGAUAUUAAAAUUUAAAAAACUUUUAAUUUUUAAAAACAUUAAUUUAUGAAUAAUUGAUCCAUUAAUAAUGAUUAAAAAAUUAAGUUACUUUAGGGAUAACAGCGUAAUUUUUUUGGAGAGUUCAUAUCGAUAAAAAAGAUUGCGACCUCGAUGUUGGAUUAAGAUAUAAUUUUGGGUGUAGCCGUUCAAAUUUUAAGUCUGUUCGACUUUUAAAUUCUUACAUGAUCUGAGUUCAAACCGGUGUAAGCCAGGUUGGUUUCUAUCUUUAAAAAAUUAUAAUAUUUUAGUACGAAAGGACCAAAUAUUAGAAUAAUUAUAUUUUAAAAAAGAAUAUUAUUAAUAUAAAUAAAGCUAUUUUGGCAGAUUAGUGCAAUAAAUUUAGAAUUUAUUUA